RNAcentral lists this ribosomal RNA (497 nucleotides) under uncultured bacterium. RNAcentral's name for it is "partial 16S ribosomal RNA". It matches the Rfam family "Bacterial small subunit ribosomal RNA", at positions 28 to 507 of the family's 1533-position model. The record is from RNAcentral.
GACGAACGCUGGCGGCGUGCCUAAUACAUGCAAGUUGAGCGAUGAAGAUUGGUGCUUGCACCAAUUUGAAGAGCAGCGAACGGGUGAGUAACGCGUGGGGAAUCUGCCUUUGAGCGGGGGACAACAUUUGGAAACGAAUGCUAAUACCGCAUAACAACUUUAAACAUAAGUUUUAAGUUUGAAAGAUGCAAUUGCAUCACUCAAAGAUGAUCCCGCGUUGUAUUAGCUAGUUGGCGAGGUAAAGGCUCACCAAGGCGAUGAUACAUAGCCGACCUGAGAGGGUGAUCGGCCACAUUGGGACUGAGACACGGCCCAAACGCCUACGGGAGGCAGCAGUAGGGAAUCUUCGGCAAUGGACGAAAGUCUGACCGAGCAACGCCGCGUGAGUGAAGAAGGUUUUCGGAUCGUAAAACUCUGUUGGUAGAGAAGAACGUUGGUGAGAGUGGAAAGCUCAUCAAGUGACGGUAACUACCCAGAAAGGGACGGCUAACUACGUG